RNAcentral lists this long non-coding RNA (1479 nucleotides) under Marmota monax (woodchuck). The record is from RNAcentral. Lineage: Eukaryota; Metazoa; Chordata; Mammalia; Rodentia; Sciuridae.
GCAUGCCAGACAAGUGCUCUACCACUGAGCUACAUCCCCAGCCCAAUUUCAAUAUGCAUUAAUUAUACAUUUGCAAAAAGAAGUAAUUGUUUUCUUAGGUUAUGUUGUCUUUAAGCUCCAUUCCCAUGACUUUUUUCUCUUGAAGUUACUACGUAGAUUUACAUAUGUACAGUUUAAUUCAUGUAAAACUUAAUUAUAUAAUUGAUUUAUUUUAGCUCUUCCAUUUAUAUUUAAUUCAUUCAUAAUCCAUUGCAGCUGUUUUGAUUAUUAUAUAAUUAAUUCAUUAUAAGAACAAUUUUUAAAGACUACCUAUUUUGUCUUGAUAAUUUUACUAUGCAAAUGAUAUUUACUUACUUAAUUCAGCUGGGAAAAAAAUGUAUUGCUAGAACAGAAGCACCAAAUAGCAGAUGGUUGGCAGUACUCAAUGUCUACAAUCCUAAUCGUGUCUGGAUCGUGGUGUAAUGUUUUCUCAGCAGUAUCUACUGGACCUGGCCAUAGACGUGGACAAUGUGAUAUGCCACUAUCACUGUAGCCUCUUGUCUGCCCAGCUCCAAAUCUGACAUAUGUUUUUGAGUCUCCCAGGCCCUACUGAUGCCCCCACUGAACUGACUUUCUGUCUGAACAUUGACUGGAGUCUGUGGGUGAGGUUGAGGAGGGAGAGUCUCAUGCAGAUUUUCUUGUGGUGACUGGAGGUUGCGUGUCUUUGGAAAUUGUGUUUUAUCAAUUCAAACACAUUGAAAAGAAAUACUUAUUUAGUGGUACUGACUUAAAUUGUAAUUUAAGUACAUGCUAGAAUUUUCCUUUACUAAAGGUCAGUUUCCUAUAAUAUCUGAAUCAAUUGCAGUGCUGUAAUUUGCUAGUACUUUUUCUUUUGAUGGAAUUGGAAGACUGAGCUAAUGGGACCAGAGAGUGUGCAGAAUUGGUACUUAAUUAUGAAAUAAUGGAAAACAGUCUACAUCAUGAAAUUACCUCAUAAACAGAGUGAUCAGAACUGAGAGGAUUUAGUAAUUAAUGAUUACAUCAAUUAAAUUAACUCAUUGUAUCUCAACCUCACACAAAUGAUGUGAGAAAGUAUAAUAUCUUAACUAUGUAAACAAUUAAUAAAAUAUGGAAGACUUUAUAAGUUCACAGAAUUGAAGCCCACACAGAUAUAGAAUUAAUUACUUUUGUGCACAUUAGGUGUUUGGGAAACUAAGCAUUAAUUUCCUGGCUUUGACUCAUAUCAAGACCACCCUGUAGGAAAAUUUAAUUCCUCAAUGAAUAUCUAUCUACUGUUUAGCUAAAUGUGUGGUAUCUAACCCACUAAAACAAAAUAUGUAAAUAAACAUUUACUUAUGGUUUAAUGAAAACAUGCUUUAUUUCUAGAUGUUUUUAAUUUAAGAUUACCAGUAAAAUAUUAAGACUUGUUUAUUCAAAACAGAUUACCUUAAUCAAGAUACAGAAUGAAUCCUCAAAGAUACUAAGCUAUAUGCAACUUGG